CUCUCUAUGUUGAGCUGACUUUGAAGUCUGUCUGUAGGUUGCUGUCUGCAAGUCUGCAGGAAUAUAGCACUGAAUCUGUGAACCCGGCCUCCUGUACAAUGAUGGGCCAUUUCUGUUGUGUCCCACCUUCAACUCUAGGAGGAUUCCUGUCCCCUAGGAACCUGGAUCGGAAAAACACUCAUUUCUGCCAGCAGGUGAAAAAAACGUUAUUGUAUUAUUUUAACAUUGUAUUGUAUUUUCUUUUCAUUGCAUUUGCAUGAAAAACACCCUGGGAUCAUGUUGAUGUGAUGAAGGGUGGCUUAUAAAUUUGUAUGAAUAAAUGAAUAAAAUGCAUCACUGCAAUGCUUAACUCUGAAUGCAAAUUGAUGAGUGAAGAAGGGUAGCCCAAUUCUCAGAGCAUCUUUUUUUGCACACCAAAGGUCCCAGCUUCAAUCCCCAAUUGCAUCUCCAGGGUGAGGAGAGCGGGGAAAGAUACCCUUCCAGAAACAGUAGAGAACCACUGCUAGUCAGUCAAUGUAGACAGUGCUAAGCUAGAGAGGCCAAUGGUCUGACUCAGUGCAAGACAGUUUCCCCAUGAUCCUAUCAUGGUGAUUCCAGAGCUGGGACAACAAAUUGCAGGUUGCAAAAGGAAAAGGACAUACCUGCCAUGGCUCUAGCCUUGAAGGUCCAAGCUGCCUCCUCCACCCACAAUCGACAUCCUCUUUGACCUGGAAGAAUAUGCAGCAUUCAAGGCCUGUGCCACAGUUUGGAUACUAAAGUAAUUCACGUAGCUGUCUUGGGACAGGAUUCUUUCAUUCUCUUCUUGGGGCAACAUCUCCAGAUUCUCCUUCUCCCUGCACUUUGUCAAACUCCUCACAGAUAAGGCAUGUUUUGGAUAUGAACAAUCAAAUGCUUUUCUCGAAUAGCUUAGACUGGCUGAAGACGUUGGCCAAUAGUAGUCCUUUUUCAUCCUUUUUUUUGGUCUUCAUUACAAAGGACAAAGAGCCAUGGGCAUAUUGAAAGCAGGCGUUAUCAAGUAACAACAUUUUGUUCUGAAGACCUGUGGUUAUCCAGACUUUCCUCAGUUUGUAUCCUUUCCAGUAAGGAUUGUACCUCUCAUGAUUAUAAAAAGUCCAUAUUGAGAGUCUGCAGAGUAAACAAAUACAUUGACUUGUCUCCACAUGGCAGGUGGUUCUUGGGGUGCCCACAGCCAAGUUUUAUGUACUACUCUUUUUGUGAAGGCAACACAGAUUUCCUUUUCCAUCAUCAGAGGUGUCAAGGUACUCAGGAACCUUUCUCCAUUGUCAUUGUCUGGAACAAAGAGGCCGACCCAUGUCCACCUGAAAUGCAGGAGGAGUUGCACCACUCCUUGGUAUUGAAUUUCUUCCUUGGGAGCCAUUUGGUAGACAAAAGGGGACUGGACUUUAUCAUGAAGAACAAAGCCAUAACUGAACUGGAAAGUAAAUGAAAAGAAAUGGAUGCUUUGUUUUUCAGGACCCAGACUGGAUACUUCUAUGCAAAUGAUGACAAAUUUAGUUAGUGCAACCUCAGAAG
This is a non-coding RNA of Podarcis lilfordi (Lilford's wall lizard), 1533 nucleotides long. The record is from the annotation of a GenBank genome assembly. Lineage: Eukaryota; Metazoa; Chordata; Lepidosauria; Squamata; Lacertidae.